Molecule: unclassified non-coding RNA, 240 nt
Filed under: soil metagenome
Description: partial contains 5.8S ribosomal RNA, internal transcribed spacer 2, and large subunit ribosomal RNA
Source: RNAcentral
AACGGUCUAUACCUGCGGUACCUGCGGAGGGAUCAUUACUGAGGAGGGUCCAUGGCCCGAUCUCCAACCCUUUGAUAAAAACACCAUGUUGCUUUGGCAGGCCCGCCCGUUGGGGCCGCGGGGGAUCGCCGGUCCCUAGCCCGUGCCUGCCGGUAGCCUUCACAAAACUCUCAAAAUGUUGUCGUCUGAGAUGAUUAGAAUAAUAAAACUUUCAACAACGGAUCUCUAGAUCGGAAGAGC